UUUCAACAAAAAGAACUAUUCAGCAAACAUGCGAAUUGAAGACCCAUUUCAAAGAGACGGGUCUAUACAUUUUGGCUCAGUCUUUUCUCAAAAAUCAGUCCCAUUUUGGUUAAAAUUGGUUGAGUCCGCCCACUAAUACAUUGUGCUACCGAAAAAUAUGGAGAAUUUCAGAUAUGGAGCGACAUAUAUGGAAGAAAAAAUAAAUUGGCGUUUGAAGAAGACGGGAAAGGAAGCGAGCGCUAUUGGAAGAACAUUCACAUAGUGUUCAAGACUUUUUUGAGGUGUUUGCAGGUUGUAUUCUUAAUGGAUAAGAGUUGGCUAAACAUAUCGCAUAGGAACAAUCCUCUAUAUGAGAAUGGAGCUAAGGAGUUUCUUCAUUUUGCCUCAUUAGAUAGGCCUGAUUCAUCUGAAAUCUUGUGUCCAUGUCGAAAGUGUCGUAAUAUGAUAUUUGUCCCAAAAGAUUUGAUCGUUGAACACAUUUGGUUGAUGGAUUUUUAACUACUUAUACUACUUGGAUUUAUCAUGGUGAGAGAUCAUCUUCAUCAGUAUCUGUUGAUAAGUUAGAUAGAGGUGAUGAAAUGCAAGACAUGUUACAUGAAGCAUUUGGGAUUCCUCCUACAUCUGGUUUUGUUGAUAUAGACAUUGAUGGUGAUGGAUUUGGUGGAUCGAAUCUCCACAAUAAAGGGUUUGAUAAAAAGACUGAAGAAUUUUUUAAUUUAUUGAAAGAAGCUGAACGUGAGUUAUACCCUGGAAGCAAGUAUUCACUACUUUAAUUCCUUGUUCGUCUAUUACGUUUAAAGUGUCUCAAUGGGUGGAGUAACAAUUCAUUUUCCAUGCUGCUAGAGUUGUUAAAAGAUGUGCUUCCUGAAAAGUAAUGGCAUGAAGCAAAAAGUAAUGGCUAUGACCCGUAUAAUACUGAUAUUGAGCGCUUAGCUCAUCGUCCAAAGAGGGUUGCAGAAGAUCAGUGGCGUUCAUUAGUUCAUUAUUGGAGUUCAAAAGAAGCAAAGGAAAAGAGCGAGAGAAACAAAGAAAGUCGAAAAAAGUUGACUAUGCCACACACAUCAGGAAGAAAAAGUCUUGCUCAAAUUAUAGAUGAUAUGACAAAAGAGAAUACUGGUGUAAAGCCAACUCGUAUUGAGGUGUGGAAAAAAACUCACACUAGAGAGAAUAAACAACCAGUAAAUGACAUAGCCGGUGAAGUUAUGAAACAAAUGGAUGAUCUUGCUGAGGUGUAUCCCGAGUUAAAUGUCCCUGGAAGUGCUCGCAAUGAUAUAUAUUCACAAGUAAUGGGACCAGACACUCAUGGGAUUGUUAGAACUCUAGGAAAAGGAGCAGCUCCAAGUUUAGUUUAUGGCCCAGUAUAUAAAUGAUCGCAGUUGGAGCAACGAGAUUUUGAUGCAAGGGUUGAGAUAGAAGUUCAAAAAGCUACCGUAGCAAUCCAAAUUGAUAUGGAUAAAAAGUUGGCUGAAGCAAAACAAAAUAUGGAAGCAAAAAUGGAUGAAAGAAUGGAUGAAAAGGUGAAGGAAAAAGUGAAGGCUGAGAUGCAAGCAUACGUACAGAGUAUCGGUUUUAUGAAUGGCUCAAACAGUAAAUCAAUCAGUUAUGAAGAGCUUUCCCAUAACUCAGUUGAAGACCGCCAACAAUCAUUAUCUCCUGUAUCAGUUGUUCCAACAAAAAAGGUUAACUUAAUCAAGAACACCACAAAUAAUGGAGUUGACACACAAAAAAAGAAGUGGCACUUUUGAAGAGUGUGAUACCAAUUAUUGGCAAGUGAUGCUCGAAUUGUGGAAAGAUGAAUUCCAUUUGUCUUGUUGCAGAAUUUAUUCUAGAAGUUUAGGGAAUUAAACAGAAAGUUUGGCGUAGUUUCAUGUUGAAAUCACUUUAGCUUUUAUGUUUUAGUUAGAAUUUGUUUUAUUUGAGAUAGAACAACAUGUCCUUUGAUUUGACAACGUCUAACUUGCAAUGAGACCUUUCUCUGCUAUGUCCUUUGAAAUACAAUUGAUUGACUUUUACUAUUUCAUAA
Molecule: long non-coding RNA, 2023 nt
Organism: Lycium barbarum (goji berry)
Lineage: Eukaryota; Viridiplantae; Streptophyta; Magnoliopsida; Solanales; Solanaceae
Exons: 9
Source: RefSeq, a predicted model, not a curated record